This 328-nucleotide ribosomal RNA is filed under the name uncultured eukaryote. RNAcentral's name for it is "partial 18S ribosomal RNA". It matches the Rfam family "Eukaryotic small subunit ribosomal RNA", at positions 1470 to 1796 of the family's 1831-position model. The record is from RNAcentral.
CCCUUAGAUGUUCUGGGCCGCACGCGCGUUACACUGAUGCAUUCAACGAGCUUAUAACCUUGGCCGAGAGGCCUGGGCAAUCUUGUUAACGUGCAUCGUGAUAGGGAUAGAUUAUUGAAAUUAUUAAUCUUGGACGAGGAAUUCCUAGUAAACGCAGAUCAUCAAUCUGCAUUGAUUACGUCCCUGCCCUUUGUACACACCGCCCGUCGCACCUACCGAUUGGAUGGUCCGGUGAAGCCUCGGGAUUGUGGUUCUUGCCGCUUUAUUGUGGCGUGACCGCGAGAACUUGUCUAAACCUUAUCAUCUAGAGGAAGGUGAAGUCGUAACA